Molecule: ribosomal RNA, 429 nt
Filed under: Pseudomonadota bacterium
Lineage: Bacteria; Pseudomonadati; Pseudomonadota
Description: Proteobacteria bacterium partial 16S ribosomal RNA
Rfam family: Bacterial small subunit ribosomal RNA
Source: RNAcentral
UGGGGAAUAUUGGACAAUGGGCGAAAGCCUGAUCCAGCCAUGCCGCGUGUGUGAAGAAGGUCUUCGGAUUGUAAAGCACUUUAAGUUGGGAGGAAGGGCAGUAAGCGAAUACCUUGCUGUUUUGACGUUACCGACAGAAUAAGCACCGGCUAACUCUGUGCCAGCAGCCGCGGUAAUACAGAGGGUGCAAGCGUUAAUCGGAAUUACUGGGCGUAAAGCGCGCGUAGGUGGUUCGUUAAGUUGAAUGUGAAAGCCCCGGGCUCAACCUGGGAACGGCAUCCAAAACGGGCGAGCUAGAGUAGGGCAGAGGGUGGUGGAAUUUCCUGUGUAGCGGUGAAAUGCGUAGAUAUAGGAAGGAACACCAGUGGCGAAGGCGACCACCUGGGCUCAUACUGACACUGAGGUGCGAAAGCGUGGGGAGCAAACAGG